GUCUUAGACUCAAAUGGCCGAAGGGAUAAGGUUCCCUAUCGUCAUCCACUCAUCCUCGAUGCAUCACAAAUCCAUCGAUUUGUUUAGUUCUGCAGAGAGGCACCGAUGUUGCGGUUCAUGGCGUCGCCAGCCAUAGCCGGGGGGCUUGCUCGUACAACGCCACGCGCCAGAGAGCGUUGCCGGCCGUCGGUUUCCCCAUCGUGCCGGAGGACGUCGCCUCCACUGCUGCUCAUGGUCCGCGCACGCCGAAGGGCUGCAUGGCCGCGUCGUGGUUGGUUGCUCCGUGGGAGCCGCCUUGAGGCCGAGGGCCUCAGAUGAUGUCCGUGUGACGCGCGUGUCGCUCUUCGCGGAGGAUUCAGGCCGAAGGAGGGCACCGCCGCACCACCGGGGUGCGUCGGGCGUAGUGGGUGUGCCUCCACCGACAGCGUUCAUAUUUGUUUUCUUCUGUUCUUGGUAAGGUUGCUUGUGUUUGAUCGCCUCAUAGAAGAAGUAGUACAGGUCGUGGACUUGAUUCUAUCCUGUGCUUCACUCCUUUUCUUCUCGGUUCUUGGUGUUCCUAGUAAAGCAAUUGUUUUGUGCAAGAAUAAAAUCAAACUGAAUCACCUUGUUUGACACCGAUUUCUCUUUCUCGAGGCCAGCGAUGUGUAUGGCGUCCCUUAUUGAAGGUCCCCGGAGUUGCUUGGUGCCGUUCGUCGCUUGAUGCCGAUGGGUAGUGCAGAAGCGAGCGCGGCGCGUGAGGGUGGCCUCGCCGGGCGCAAGAAUGGCGCUGAGGGCCGUCGGGCGCUCCGUGGUGUGCCACGGAUGCAAUAUGAGAACUCCGUCGCCGGACGAGCGUCGCGCGUCGGCCGUUUUGCCUCCAGAUGCGGGAGAAGAUCCCUUGGCGCCUCGCCGCUGUUACGCCGCCUCCCUAUCACUUUCUUCUCGCUUUCUAUGGCCAAAUCGCUCUCGGUUACGAGCGUGCUAAUAACGUGUUGAAUGUAAAAGUGAUUGAAUUAAGGAAAGGCUCCUGAUUUCAUUGAAUCUCAAGAUAUAUAUACACUCCGAAGAGGCGCCUUGUAGAGGCGGUAGUUACAAUAGAUAUGGGAAGGAAAAGAACGCCUUGUAGAGGCGGUAGUUACAAUAGAUAUGGGAAGGAAAAGAACGCGUCCGUACGGACACAUGCGUCCGUACGAGGCGUCUGUUCGGUGUUGGACACACCUAUUCAACUAAUGACGGUUUGUUAAUUAACCUGUGUUAAUUAACUAACAUGUAAAAUCUAUUCCUAACAAGUUUUCUAUUUUUAUUGCUCUGUUUUGAAUUAGUAAAAAUGCUAAUUCAUUUUUAAAACUCC
RNAcentral lists this ribosomal RNA (1330 nucleotides) under Triticum aestivum (bread wheat). Its description in RNAcentral is "partial small subunit ribosomal RNA". Lineage: Eukaryota; Viridiplantae; Streptophyta; Magnoliopsida; Poales; Poaceae. The record is from RNAcentral.